This 330-nucleotide unclassified non-coding RNA is filed under the name soil metagenome. Its description in RNAcentral is "partial contains 5.8S ribosomal RNA, internal transcribed spacer 2, and large subunit ribosomal RNA". The stretch from base 1 to 120 matches the Rfam family "5.8S ribosomal RNA", at positions 35 to 154 of the family's 154-position model. The record is from RNAcentral.
GAUGAAGAACGCAGCGAAAUGCGAUAAGUAAUGUGAAUUGCAGAAUUCAGUGAAUCAUCGAAUCUUUGAACGCACAUUGCGCCCCCUGGUAUUCCGGGGGGCAUGCCUGUUCGAGCGUCAUUUCACCACUCAAGCCUCGCUUGGUAUUGGGCAACGCGGUCCGCCGCGUGCCUCAAAUCGACCGGCUGGGUCUUCUGUCCCCUAAGCGUUGUGGAAACUUUCGCUAAAGGGUGUUCGGGAGGCUACGCCGUAAAACAACCCCAUUUCUAAGGUUGACCUCGUAUCAGGUAGGGAUACCCGCUGAACUUAAGCAUAUCAAUAAGCGGAGGA